Sapajus apella (tufted capuchin) is the source of this 1601-nucleotide long non-coding RNA. RefSeq lists it as uncharacterized. The record is from RefSeq and is a predicted model, not a curated record. The transcript is spliced from 3 exons. Lineage: Eukaryota; Metazoa; Chordata; Mammalia; Primates; Cebidae.
GACGGACAGGCAGAUGAACAGAGAGGCUAUAAAUGCAGCAAGAUGUUAAAGGUGGAAACAAGUGGUAAAGGUUCUGCAGGUUUUGGAUAUAAGAAAUAAAACAUGGGCCUCCCAGAAGGAGCAUCAAUCCAACCACCUCUGGCCCCAGCCCCACGCCAGCACAUGUCUCCAAGCUUCUUACGAUACUUCAUGCUACCUUGCACUAAUUACAGCUGUUUGCGUCCAUUGCUUCCUGUUCAGAAAGCUCGCUGAGAGUAGGAUCCAUGUGUAUCUAACCCCUCUCCUCAGCACAUAUUAGACAAUCCAUGAGCUCUUGAAUGAAUGAGAAUGGCCCAGAUAGAGGAGUGGUGGAUGAGAAUGAUCACCCAGGAUAUCCAGACCCCACCUGUAUCAGGACUUGCCUGACUUGGCUCCUUACCUUAACAUACUACAUGCCACAGCUGCUGUCUCUCCAAGACAGGCUGAUACCCAUGACUAUGGAAAGUCCAUGUCCUCUUUGCACUUUUCUAAAAGGGAAAAAGGACUUUGAAAAACUGACGGGGCCCACUCUUUUCUCUUGAUCUCACCCACCACGUCAUAAAACAGACUAAGUCACAUGGGAAAACAAAUGGUUCUGUCAUUCCAGCACCUUAUAGCUCUCUGAUGGGCCAGCAACUUGUAUACCUACUUAACAAAAUGCCAAGGCAACUGUCAGUGUUCCUAUCCUCUGCUGGGCACCUCACAUCCAUCUGGCAGAGCUUUUGAUUAUAAACAGAGUGCAGACUCACCAAGAAGCAGCCCCUAAGGAGAGUCCCACCUGGUGGUUCUGCAGCCAGCGGGGUCCUUAUACUGCCUAAGACGAGCAAGGGCUGCUACUGCAGAUUCCUCAGGUCAAGGAGGGGCUGGAUGAGGUUCCCAAACAUGCCCACCUUGAAGCAUGUGAAGGGGCACAUUUGCGUCCGGCUCUGUACUUGGGGAUCACGGGGCUGAAGUGUCCUUUAGAGAGAAGGCAGCUCUGACUACAUUUGGCAAGAACAGGAUAGACAGCCCCAGCCCUCAGCUUGCUGGCAGGACAUGCCAAGGCUUGUCCCUGUGCUAGGUAAGGAGGGGUCAGGGAGGGACCAGGCAGGAAGGCUGACAUUGGAAAUGUCUCCUACACACAAAGUCAGCCUUAGGAUCUUAGAGGUAGCAAUUAAAAAAAAAAAAAAAAAAAUCCACUGUUGAAAGUCAGCACAUGUGCAAAUUUAUAUCCACAUCAAAGCUAUUUUAUGCCCUGAACAAACAUGGCAAAUAAGUUUCUGAGGCCAAGUUCUCAGGGAUGAGACAUAAUCUUGCCCACCAGGGGUGCACAGACUAAGGAGAUCAGUGAACUGUGCCUGAGAAUGGUGAAGACUUUCAAAUUCAAUGGAACUUUCCCCUACAAACUUCGUGUGAUUUGCGAGUUUUUUUUAAUAUGGUUUUAAAAUUAAUCCACAAGCUGACCCUCUUCCUCCUACACUUUCAAGGGUAACAGAGAUCUCUGAAAGUUGUCAGGAAGGUGCAAAAGUGGAUAAAAUCAUGCAUUCAAUUUUAGGAAGUUCCCAAAUCACCUGGAAUGCAGUUGAAGGCUCUGAAGAGUCUAC